GAUGAACGCUGGCGGCGUGCCUAAUACAUGCAAGUCGAGCGAACGGACGAGAAGCUUGCUUCUCUGAUGUUAGCGGCGGACGUGUGAGUAACACGUGGAUAACCUACCUAUAAGACUGGGAUAACUUCGGGAAACCGGAGCUAAUCCCGGAUAAUAUUUUGAACCGCAUGGUUCAAAAGUGAAAGACGGUCUUGCUGUCACUUAUAGAUGGAUCCGCGCUGCAUUAGCUAGUUGGUAAGGUAACGGCUUACCAAGGCAACGAUGCAUAGCCGACCUGAGAGGGGGAUCGGCCACACUGGAACUGAGACACGGUCCAGACUCCUACGGGAGGCAGCAGUAGGGAAUCUUCCGCAAUGGGCGAAAGCCUGACGGAGCAACGCCGCGUGAGUGAUGAAGGUCUUCGGAUCGUAAAACUCUGUUAUGAGGGAAGAACAUAUGUGUAAGUAACUGUGCACAUCUUGACGGUACCUAAUCAGAAAGCCACGGCUAACUACGUG
RNAcentral lists this ribosomal RNA (497 nucleotides) under uncultured bacterium. RNAcentral's name for it is "partial 16S ribosomal RNA". It matches the Rfam family "Bacterial small subunit ribosomal RNA", at positions 28 to 507 of the family's 1533-position model. The record is from RNAcentral.